AACACAUGCAAGUCGAGGGGCAUCGGGAUUGAAGCUUGCUUCAAUUGCCGGCGACCGGAGCACGGGUGCGUAACGCGUAUGUAACCUACCUAUAACAGGGGCAUAACACUGAGAAAUUGGUACUAAUUCCCCAUAAUAUUCGGAGAGGCAUCUCUCCGGGUUGAAAACUCCGGUGGUUAUAGAUGGACAUGCGUUGUAUUAGCUAGUUGGUGAGGUAACGGCUCACCAAGGCAACGAUACAUAGGGGGACUGAGAGGUUAACCCCCCACACUGGUACUGAGACACGGACCAGACUCCUACGGGAGGCAGCAGUGAGGAAUAUCGGUCAAUGGACGCAAGUCUGAACCAGCCAUGCCGCGUGCAGGAAGACGGCUCUAUGAGUUGUAAACUGCUUUUGUACGAGGGUAAACUCACCUACGUGUAGGUGACUGAAAGUAUCGUACGAAUAAGGAUCGGCUAACUCCGUGCCAGCAGCCGCGGUAAUACGGAGGAUUCAAGCGUUAUCCGGAUUUAUUGGGUUUAAAGGGUGCGUAGGCGGUUUGAUAAGUUAGAGGUGAAAUCCCGGGGCUUAACUCCGGAACUGCCUCUAAUACUGUUAGACUAGAGAGUAGUUGCGGUGGGCGGAAUGUAUGGUGUAGCGGUGAAAUGCUUAGAGAUCAUACAGAACA
This 668-nucleotide ribosomal RNA is filed under the name uncultured Bacteroidales bacterium. RNAcentral describes it as "bacterial SSU rRNA". It matches the Rfam family "Bacterial small subunit ribosomal RNA", at positions 50 to 708 of the family's 1533-position model. Lineage: Bacteria; Pseudomonadati; Bacteroidota; Bacteroidia; Bacteroidales. The record is from RNAcentral.